UAACCCCCUCCAGGCAGCGGUUCUGUGCCGCCGCCCGGGCCUUUGGCGCGGGGAGGUGACCGUGGCGCUCCGGCGCCGGGCCCGGUUUCCCCCGCUCAAACGUGGAGAAAGCUAGCCGGCAGGGCUCCGAUUGCAGCGACUCGUAAAACUGCUAACCCGUCGCAAUGUCUUCGGAGCUGCCCGGCCUCUAAAACAGAAGGAGGAUCCCUCCCAGACGU
This 218-nucleotide unclassified non-coding RNA is filed under the name uncultured Orbiliales. Its description in RNAcentral is "sequence contains ITS2". The record is from RNAcentral. Lineage: Eukaryota; Fungi; Ascomycota; Orbiliomycetes; Orbiliales.